RNAcentral lists this long non-coding RNA (548 nucleotides) under Androctonus crassicauda. The record is from RNAcentral. Lineage: Eukaryota; Metazoa; Arthropoda; Arachnida; Scorpiones; Buthidae.
UGAAUCGCGUAUAACGGGAUCUACCUGUAUUAUACUCUAUAAUAAAGUGCAUUCAUAUAUGAAAACUUUUUACAUAUAAAAUUAAACAAGUUUAUUUUCUUUAAUAUUAUCUCCUUUUAAAAUUAUGGAAUAUUUUUUAUAAAUAAUUGCUACUCUAAAGAAAUAUGUAUGCAUUAAAAUUAAGAAAAGCAAAAAACUUCAAUAGAUGAAAAAAUUAUUCAAUUUAUUAUGUAACUUUCAGUUUUUUAGCAAUUGAGCCUGAUUCAUAACUACAUUUUUGUUUUAUUUUGGCCUUUUCAUGAUUUUCAAUAGCAUAUCCUCUUAUUAUAAUGAAGUGAUUGAUUAUUUUUUCUUCAAUUUUAUAGCAAUUUUGUGUAUAACAUACUGUUUCUGCCAAUAUUCUUUCAGUGAAACUUUUGUCCAAGUUUCCUUUAGUUUUGAAAUUUUCCUCCUCAGAUUUAAAAGAGAUUUUACUGUUUGUCUGCCACAAGAGUGGCUCCCGCCAGGAUGUCUAGUUAGUGGCGGUCGCUAUUGCAACAAGACCUGUC